Molecule: long non-coding RNA, 279 nt
Filed under: Salvia miltiorrhiza (redroot sage)
Lineage: Eukaryota; Viridiplantae; Streptophyta; Magnoliopsida; Lamiales; Lamiaceae
Description: long non-coding RNA (SMIL_LNC001382)
Source: RNAcentral
GACUCAAAUUUCCAUAUAGGAGCAAGAGCAAUUUCCACCACAGACGAGUCGGACAUGUGAUGCACCAAAGAGUAAUAACAUUCACUUCCAAUUCGCCGCUGGCGUCGAAUACACAGUGGAGGGAGUGAGAUCGUAUCCUUGCUACGCGGACGGUACAACUCAAAAUCAAUAAAAUUGAUGUUGGAAUCCCGCUCCUCUAUCAUCGGGCUGCACUCAUAUGGGAUAUCUUUUGAAAACACUAUGAUGUUUUCGCCACAUCGAAUUGCAGAAGGAUCAGUU